CUGGAAUGGUUCCUGACUAAAAUCUAUAUGGCCUCUGGAUUGGACUGCGGCCGAUCAGGCUGUUGGUGAGGUAAUGGCCCACCAAACCUGUAACCGGUACGGGCUCUGAGAGGAGGAGCCCGGAGAUGGGCACUGAGACAAGGGCCCAGGCCCUAUGGGGCGCAGCAGGCGCGAAACCUCUGCAAUAGGCGAAAGCCUGACAGGGUUACUCUGAGUGACUUUCGCUAAGAAAGUCUUUUGGCACCUCUAAAAAGGGUGCAGAAUAAGGGGUGGGCAAGUCUGGUGUCAGCCGCCGCGGUAAUACCAGCACCCCGAGUGGUCGGGACGAUUAUUGGGCCUAAAGCAUCCGUAGCCGGUUCUGCAAGUCCCCCGUUAAAUCCAGCUGCUCAACAGAUGGGCCGCGGAGGAUACUACAGAGCUAGGAGGCAGGAGAGGCAAGCGGUACUCAGUGGGUAGGGGUAAAAUCCUUUGAUCCAUUGAAGACCACCAGUGGCGAAGGCGGCUUGCCAGAACGCGCUCGACGGUGAGGGAUGAAAGCUGGGGGAGCAAACCGGAUUAGAUACCCGGGUAGUCCCAGCUGUAAACGAUGCAGACUCGGUGAUGGGCUAGCCUUGUGCCAGCCCAGUGCCGCAGGGAAGCCGUUAAGUCUGCCGCCUGGGGAGUACGGUCGCAAGACUGAAACUUAAAGGAAUUGGCGGGGGAGCACCACAAGGGGUGAAGCCUGCGGUUCAAUUGGACUCAACGCCGGU
RNAcentral lists this ribosomal RNA (749 nucleotides) under uncultured archaeon. RNAcentral's name for it is "bacterial SSU rRNA". It matches the Rfam family "Archaeal small subunit ribosomal RNA", at positions 170 to 922 of the family's 1478-position model. The record is from RNAcentral.